GUUUUCGGGUAAUUACAGCAGUCUUUUGACUGUUGAGGAAAGUCCAUGCUCUCACAAGCUGCGAUGCUUGUAGUGUUCGUGCUUAGCGAAAAAAUAAGCUAAGGGACUCAUUUUUGAGUUACGGCAACUAAAAAAGCUAAGGUCUUAUGACUAUGCUUGAGUAAGUUUGAAAGUGCCACAGUGACGAAGUGCUUGGAGAAAUCCAAACAGUGGAACGGGUAAACCCCUCGAGAGAGCAACCCAAAUUAUGGUCGGGGCAUUCUUUUCACGGAAUUGAACGUAGAAAGGGAACAAAGUAAUCUUUGUAGACAGAUUAUUACCGUUGGUUUUUCGUUCCUGGGAAAACCAAUACAGAACAUGGCUUAUAGAA
This 370-nucleotide RNase P RNA is filed under the name Vagococcus xieshaowenii. RNAcentral's name for it is "RNase P RNA component class B". It matches the Rfam family "Bacterial RNase P class B". Rfam says of the family: Ribonuclease P (RNase P) is a ubiquitous endoribonuclease, found in archaea, bacteria and eukarya as well as chloroplasts and mitochondria. Its best characterised activity is the generation of mature 5'-ends of tRNAs by cleaving the 5'-leader elements of precursor-tRNAs. The record is from RNAcentral. Lineage: Bacteria; Bacillati; Bacillota; Bacilli; Lactobacillales; Enterococcaceae.